Molecule: long non-coding RNA, 1016 nt
Organism: Polyodon spathula (Mississippi paddlefish)
Lineage: Eukaryota; Metazoa; Chordata; Actinopteri; Acipenseriformes; Polyodontidae
Exons: 3
Source: RefSeq, a predicted model, not a curated record
UGAUGUUUCAUGUUAAUAGUGUUAGACUGGCUGACAUCAGCAAUUUUGAAGGCUUGUUUUUCAGGCCUGCAAAUGAUAUAAGAUUGGACACCAACAGGACAUUUUGCAUCAGUGUGGCAGCGAUCCCUUUACAACGUGGACAGGCUCAAGGCCCAGGCGUGGUGGACUAAGGAAACUGGGUAAACAGAUCUUGUAAAGACUCUGGAGAGAAACUGGAAGAUGAUUCAAGAUGAAGCCCUGGGUGUGAUGGACACUGAGAUCUCAUUAUACCAGAGGAUGAAAACUUGAGAGAGAAAGGAGAGUGGGGUCAAUUCAUGCUUUGGCAACAAGAUCCAGGGAAGAAAGGAAACUUCUCAUCUUCGACAAUUCAUUUGAACGUGUAGUUUUGCAAGACACUGGCGGCUACAGACUGCUCUUCGUUGUGGACAUUUGGCACCCAGAACUGACUCCCCACCAGAGACGGACCAUUUAUCCAAUCUAAAAUGUGGGAUUUUCACAUAUCUCUCCCCAGCACUCUUCCAUGUACAAACACAGCUGUUUUUCAUAGUAAUAAUAUAUGAACACAUUGGCACAUUUUUAAGUACAACAGCCAAGCCAGCUCACACAGUAUCUGAAACUAAAGUGAGUGAUCUUAGGCCACAAAAGCACAAUCAAAGAAUAAAACAGAAAGAUGAUGAGACACUGAAGAGACAUCAUUGCAGAUACUGAUGUGUAUCAAUAGAUGCCUUUAAUACUGAAGGUGGUCAUCUUGCUGGCUAUAAUUAUUUGUAAAUGCUUUAAAAUGUGCUGGUACUGUACAUUGUCUUAAAAAAAAAAAAAAAAAAAAAGAACUCAUCCCAAUCCUCCACAAGGAAUUCACGCUUGUAAAUAAUACAGUAUCCUCAUAAUUCACUUGAAUGAAAAUGUCUCUGCGUCUAAACCAGAAAGUGUUACAAUGUACAGUUAACACGAUAUUAAAAUGUGCUUCCUAAAAUGUGACCUUGCCUGAUUACUGAAGACUUCAUAUAAUCUUACAC